CCUACGGGUGGCAGCAGUAGGGAAUCUUUCACAAUGGGCGAAAGCCUGAUGGAGCAACGUCGCGUGCAGGAUGAAGGCCUUCGGGUUGUAAACUGCUUUUAUAAGCGAGAAAUAUGAUGGUAACUUAUGAAUAAGGAUCGGCUAACUACGUGCCAGCCGCCGCGGUCAUACGUAGGAUCCGAGCAUUAUCCGGAGUGACUGGGGGUAAAGAGUUGCGUAGGUGGCAUAAUAAGUAGCUAGGGAAAUCUGGUGGCUCAACCAUUCAGAAUAUUAGCUAAACUGUUAAGCUCGAGACCGUUAGGGGUAACUGGAAUUUCUAGUGUAGGGGUGAAAUCCGUAGAUAUUAGAAGGAACACCGAUGGCGUAGGCAGGUUGCUGGGACAGUUCUGACACUAAGGCACGAAAGCGUAGGGAGCAAACGGGAUUAGAUACCCGAGUAGUC
This 442-nucleotide ribosomal RNA is filed under the name uncultured bacterium. RNAcentral's name for it is "partial 16S ribosomal RNA". It matches the Rfam family "Bacterial small subunit ribosomal RNA", at positions 338 to 795 of the family's 1533-position model. The record is from RNAcentral.